RNAcentral lists this ribosomal RNA (495 nucleotides) under uncultured bacterium. Its description in RNAcentral is "partial 16S ribosomal RNA". It matches the Rfam family "Bacterial small subunit ribosomal RNA", at positions 28 to 507 of the family's 1533-position model. The record is from RNAcentral.
GACGAACGCUGGCGGCGUGCCUAAUACAUGCAAGUAGAACGCUGAAGGAGGAGCUUGCUCUUCUGGAUGAGUUGCGAACGGGUGAGUAACGCGUAGGUAACCUGCCUGGUAGCGGGGGAUAACUAUUGGAAACGAUAGCUAAUACCGCAUAAGAGUAGAUGUUGCAUGACAUUUGCUUAAAAGGUGCAAUUGCAUCACUACCAGAUGGACCUGCGUUGUAUUAGCUAGUUGGUGGGGUAACGGCUCACCAAGGCGACGAUACAUAGCCGACCUGAGAGGGUGAUCGGCCACACUGGGACUGAGACACGGCCCAGACUCCUACGGGAGGCAGCAGUAGGGAAUCUUCGGCAAUGGACGGAAGUCUGACCGAGCAACGCCGCGUGAGUGAAGAAGGUUGUCGGAUCGUAAAGCUCGGUUGUAAGAGAAGAACGAGUGUGAGAGUGGAAAGUUCACACUGUGACGGUAUCUUACCAGAAAGGGACGGCUAACUACGUG